AUCCAGUUGACGAAUCCCAAAUGAGAUGAAAUGUGCAUCCUGGAU
RNAcentral lists this non-coding RNA (45 nucleotides) under Trichobilharzia regenti. Lineage: Eukaryota; Metazoa; Platyhelminthes; Trematoda; Strigeidida; Schistosomatidae. The record is from RNAcentral.